AAUAAGAUGCCUGAUUAAAGGAUUAUUUUGAUAGAAUAAAUUAAGUGAGAUUCACUCUUAUUG
RNAcentral lists this transfer RNA (63 nucleotides) under Gunungidia aurantiifasciata. RNAcentral's name for it is "tRNA-Ile". RNAcentral also lists the same sequence under 1 other name. Lineage: Eukaryota; Metazoa; Arthropoda; Insecta; Hemiptera; Cicadellidae. The record is from RNAcentral.